This is a small nucleolar RNA of Meriones unguiculatus (Mongolian gerbil), 144 nucleotides long. RefSeq annotates it as small nucleolar RNA SNORA72. The transcript has a single exon. The record is from RefSeq and is a predicted model, not a curated record. Lineage: Eukaryota; Metazoa; Chordata; Mammalia; Rodentia; Muridae.
UGGCUCUUCUCCCUGUUGUGAGUCAGUGAUAAGCAGGAAAGGCUAAACAUCUGCUGUGGUAAGACCAGGCGUGGUAAGACCAGGCGUGUGUGCUCAGACCUAGUUCUUUCCCUGGGCUGGGUUUCCUAAAUGCUGGUGACAAAC